Molecule: transfer RNA, 68 nt
Filed under: Sciopemyia fluviatilis
Lineage: Eukaryota; Metazoa; Arthropoda; Insecta; Diptera; Psychodidae
Description: tRNA-Trp
Source: RNAcentral
AAGAUUUUAAGUUAAGUAAAACUAAUAACCUUCAAAGUUACAAAUAAAUAAGAAUUUUUUAAGUCUUA